Molecule: ribosomal RNA, 3003 nt
Filed under: activated sludge metagenome
Description: bacterial LSU rRNA
Rfam family: Bacterial large subunit ribosomal RNA
Source: RNAcentral
UCAAGCGAAUAAGGGCGUACGGUGGAUGCCUUGGCACUGACAGGCGAUGAAGGUCGUGGCAAACUGCGAUAAGCCUUGGGGAGGAGUAAGCAUCCGUUGAUCCAGGGAUGACCGAAUGGGCAAACCCAUACAGGUAAAACCUGUAUAUCCGUCUACUGAAUAAAUAGGUAGCGGAAGCUAGACCCGGGGAACUGAAACAUCUAAGUACCCGGAGGAAAAGAAAGAGAGAUCGAUUCCCUAAGUAGUGGCGAGCGAAAGGGGAAGAGCCCAAACCGAUGUCUACGUUAAAGGCUGCAGCCGUUGUAACGUCGGGGUAAUAGGACCGUUUGAGCACAAUCUGCAAAUUGUGCUGCAAGUUACAAAAUAUCUGUUUAACUGAACCUGCUGGGAAGAGGGGCAAAGAGGGUGAUACCCCCGUAAGUGAAAAGCAGAUAUCUUGCAAGAGCGGCACCUGAGUACCGCGGGGCACGUGAAACCCUGUGGGAAUUCUCGAGGACCACCUCGAAAGGCUAAAUACUAGUCAGUGACCGAUAGUGAACAAGUACCGUGAGGGAAAGGCGAAAAGAACCGCUGUGAGCGGAGUGAAAUAGAACCUGAAACCGUAUGCUUACAAGGAGUAGGAGGGCUAUGCAGCAAUGUAUGCCUGACUGCGUGCCUUUUGUAGAAUGAUCCGGCGACUUACUUUAAUAUAGCGAGGUUAAGUGAUAGAAAUCACGGAGCCGAAGGGAAACCGAGUCUGAAUAGGGCGAUAGUUAUAUUAAGUAGACCCGAAACCAAGUGAUCUAUCCACGGUCAGGUUGAAGCAGGGGUAAGACCCUGUGGAGGACCGAACCGGUGUCUGUUGAAAAAGCCUCGGAUGAACUGUGGAUAGGGGUGAAAGGCCAAACAAACUUGGAAAUAGCUGGUUCUCCCCGAAAUAGCUUUAGGGCUAGCCUCGUGUGUUUCGUUGUUGAGGUAGAGCACUGAAAGAGCUAGGGGGUUUACCAAUCUACCAAACUCUAUCAAACUUCGAAUGCGACAACGUGAGAGCACGGGAGUCAGACUGCGGGUGAUAAUAUUCGUGGUCGAGAGGGAAACAACCCGGACCAACAGCUAAGGUCCCAAAAUGUAUGUUAAGUGAGGAAGGAUGUGGAAUCACACAGACAGCCAGGAGGUUGGCUUAGAAGCAGCCAUUCCUUCAAAGAGUGCGUAAUAGCUCACUGGUCGAGUGAUUCUGCGCCAAAAAUGAUUGGGGCUAAACAUACUACCGAAGCUUUGGACUCAGCAAUGAGUGGUAGGGGAGCAUUCUGUACCGGGAUGAAGGUUGAUCGUGAGGACGACUGGACUGUACAGAAGAGAGAAUGCCGGAAUGAGUAACGAUAAAAUGUGUGAAAAACAUAUUCGCCGAAAACCCAAGGUUUUCUGGGCAAUGCUAAUCAUCUCAGAGUUAGUCGGCCCCUAAGACGAGGCUUAACAGCGUAGUCGAUGGGAAGCAGGUUAAUAUUCCUGCACCGGUUUGCGGAGGUAAUCGUGAUGGAGUGACGCAGAAAGAUAAUGGCGCAGAGUGUUGGAUUACUCUGUUCUUAUGUGUAGGCUUGAUGUCCAGGUAAAUCCGGAUGUCUUAUGGCUGAGGCAAUAGGGGAGCUCGGGCAACCGAGUGAAGGUCAUGAUUCUAGGCUGCCAAGAAAAACUUCUAAACGCGAAGCAGACCGACCGUACUACAAACCGACACAGGUGGGUGGGGUGAAUAACCUAAGGCGCUCGAGAUAACUCUUGUUAAGGAACUCGGCAAAUUAGUCCCGUAACUUCGGGAAAAGGGACGCCUUUUUAGCGUGAAGUAGAACAUACGGAGCGUGAAGAGGUCGCAGAGAAAUGGGCCAAGCGACUGUUUAGCAAAAACACAGGGCUCUGCAAAAUCGUAAGAUAAAGUAUAGGGUCUGACACCUGCCCGGUGCUGGAAGGUUAAAAGGAGAGGUUAGCGUGAUUUAUCAUGCGAAGCUUUGAAUUGAAGCCCCAGUAAACGGCGGCCGUAACUAUGACGGUCCUAAGGUAGCGAAAUUCCUUGUCAGGUAAGUUCUGACCUGCACGAAUGGUGUAACGACUUGGUCACUGUCUCAACAAGAGGCUCGGUGAAAUUGUAAUGUUAGUGAAGAUGCUGACUACCUGUAGUUGGACGGGAAGACCCCGUGCACCUUUACUGUACCCUGACACUGUGAUUUGGCAACGUAUGUGUAGGAUAGGUGGGAGACUUUGAAGUUGGGACGCCAGUCUCGAUGGAGUCGUUGUUGAAAUACCACCCUUACUUUGUUGGAUUACUAACUGAUACCCGUUAUCCGGGAUCAGGACAAUGUCUGGCGGGCAGUUUGACUGGGGCGGUCGCCUCCUAAAGAGUAACGGAGGCGCCCAAAGGUUCCCUCAGCACGGACGGAAAUCGUGCGCAGAGUGUAAACGCAUAAGGGAGCUUGACUGCGAGACAAACAAGUCGAGCAGAAACGAAAGUUGGGGUUAGUGAUCCGGUGGUCCCGAGUGGAAGGGCCAUCGCUCAACGGAUAAAAGGUACGCCGGGGAUAACAGGCUGAUAGUGCCCAAGAGUUCAUAUCGACGGCACUGUUUGGCACCUCGAUGUCGACUCUCCGCAUCCUGGGGCUGGAGAAGGUCCCAAGGGUUUGGCUGUUCGCCAAUUAAAGCGGAACGCGAGUUGGGUUCAAAACGUCGUGAGACAGUUUGGUCCCUAUCCUCUACAGGCGCUGGAGAUUUGAGGAGAUCUGUUCCUAGUACGAGAGGACCGGAAUGGACGAACCUCUGGUACAUCGGUUAUCGCGCCAGCGGUACAGCCGAGUAGCUAUGUUCGGAAGGAAUAACCGCUGAAAGCAUCUAAGCGGGAAAUCUACUCCAAGAUGAGAUCUCCCCGGGACUUUAAGUCCCCUGAAGACUCCUCGAAGACUACGAGGUCGAUAGGAUGGCGGUGUAAGUGCGGUAACGUAUUCAGCCUACCAUUACUAAUCAGUCGUGAGGCUUGACCAU